RNAcentral lists this ribosomal RNA (550 nucleotides) under Salmonella enterica. Its description in RNAcentral is "bacterial SSU rRNA". It matches the Rfam family "Bacterial small subunit ribosomal RNA", at positions 993 to 1533 of the family's 1533-position model. The record is from RNAcentral. RNAcentral also lists the same sequence under 4 other names. Lineage: Bacteria; Pseudomonadati; Pseudomonadota; Gammaproteobacteria; Enterobacterales; Enterobacteriaceae.
GAACUUUCCAGAGAUGGAUUGGUGCCUUCGGGAACUGUGAGACAGGUGCUGCAUGGCUGUCGUCAGCUCGUGUUGUGAAAUGUUGGGUUAAGUCCCGCAACGAGCGCAACCCUUAUCCUUUGUUGCCAGCGAUUAGGUCGGGAACUCAAAGGAGACUGCCAGUGAUAAACUGGAGGAAGGUGGGGAUGACGUCAAGUCAUCAUGGCCCUUACGACCAGGGCUACACACGUGCUACAAUGGCGCAUACAAAGAGAAGCGACCUCGCGAGAGCAAGCGGACCUCAUAAAGUGCGUCGUAGUCCGGAUUGGAGUCUGCAACUCGACUCCAUGAAGUCGGAAUCGCUAGUAAUCGUGGAUCAGAAUGCCACGGUGAAUACGUUCCCGGGCCUUGUACACACCGCCCGUCACACCAUGGGAGUGGGUUGCAAAAGAAGUAGGUAGCUUAACCUUCGGGAGGGCGCUUACCACUUUGUGAUUCAUGACUGGGGUGAAGUCGUAACAAGGUAACCGUAGGGGAACCUGCGGUUGGAUCACCUCCUUACCUGAAAGAA